RNAcentral lists this ribosomal RNA (416 nucleotides) under uncultured bacterium. RNAcentral's name for it is "bacterial SSU rRNA". It matches the Rfam family "Bacterial small subunit ribosomal RNA", at positions 356 to 773 of the family's 1533-position model. The record is from RNAcentral.
GGGGAAUCUUGCACAAUGGGCGAAAGCCUGAUGCAGCGACGCCGCGUGAGGGAUGACGGCUUUCGGGUUGUAAACCUCUUUUAUCCAUGACGAAGGCCGGCUUGUUGUCGGUUGACGGUAGUGGUUGAAUAAGCGCCGGCUAACUACGUGCCAGCAGCCGCGGUAAGACGUAGGGCGCGAGCGUUGUCCGGAUUUAUUGGGCGUAAAGGGCUCGUAGGCGGCUCGUCGCGUCUGCCGUGAAAGACCAUGGCUUAACUGUGGUUUUGCGGUGGAUACGGGCGGGCUUGAGGCCAGUAGGGGAGAUCGGAAUUCUACGUGUAGCGGUGAAAUGCGCAGAUAUGUGGAGGAACACCGGUGGCGAAGGCGGAUCUCUGGGCUGGUUCUGACGCUGAGGAGCGAAAGCAUGGGGAGCGAAC